Portunus trituberculatus (swimming crab) is the source of this 800-nucleotide long non-coding RNA. RefSeq lists it as uncharacterized. The transcript is spliced from 2 exons. The record is from RefSeq and is a predicted model, not a curated record. NCBI's taxonomy places the organism in Eukaryota, Metazoa, Arthropoda, Malacostraca, Decapoda, Portunidae.
UUAUAGUUAUUUUCUCUUCUAUUAAUUAUUUUCUUUUGUUUUACUGUUUUAUUUAUUGCAGCUUGGUUUAUUUGUUUUUAAGUUUUUUUUUUAUUUAUUUUCUGGGUCUCUAUUUUAUCGACAUCUUUCAUUUCAUACUCAGUUAAUCUUAAUCGUCGUUUAUAGUUAUUUUCUCUUCUAUUAAUUAUUUCCUUUUGUUUUACUGUUUUAUUCAUCGCAACUUGGUUUUAUUUGUGUUUUAAGCCUCUUUUUUUUCUUUGUUUAAGUCUGCUGGUGUGGGUCUUCAUUUAUCGAUAUUGUACAUUAUUGUACCCAGUUACUUAAUCUUAUCUUCACCCUUCUCUUUUUAUGUCUUAUCUAAUACAACUGUGCUUAUUAGAGAUUUAACGUUAUUUCUAUUAUUUUUUUACUUAUUUGUAAUUUUCCACGGAUAUAAACAAAUAUUUCAAAAGGAAGACAAGAAAAUGGUAUACCGAUAAAUUUAUUAACAUUUAUGGCUUAAUACAAAUAAAUUAGACCAUAUCUUAUAAAAUCAACUUAAAAUUCAAUAGGCAACCUUCCAGUAAACAAAAAUUAACGUUAUAGUAACUUAAUAAUAAUAAUAAUAAUAAUAAUAAUAAUAAUAAUAAUAAUAAUAAUAAUAAUGGUACUUAUAUAAUGAAUAGUAAUAAUUUUAAGUAAGGUAUUUAAGUAUAAGGCACUUGAGAUCGUUAAAUAAGUGUGUGUGUGUGUGUGUGUGUGUGUGUGUGUGUGUGUGUGUGUGUGUGUGUGUGUGUGUGUGUGUGUGUGUGUGUGUGUGU